RNAcentral lists this ribosomal RNA (692 nucleotides) under Zunongwangia profunda. RNAcentral's name for it is "bacterial SSU rRNA". It matches the Rfam family "Bacterial small subunit ribosomal RNA", at positions 71 to 761 of the family's 1533-position model. Lineage: Bacteria; Pseudomonadati; Bacteroidota; Flavobacteriia; Flavobacteriales; Flavobacteriaceae. The record is from RNAcentral.
AGGGAGUGCUUGCACUCAGCUGACGACCGGCGCACGGGUGCGUAACGCGUAUGCAAUCUACCUCUUACUGAGGGAUAGCCCAUGGAAACGUGGAUUAAUACCUCAUAGUAUUAUAGACUGGCCUCAGUUUAUGAUUAAAGGUUACGGUAAGAGAUGAGCAUGCGUCCUAUUAGCUAGAUGGUAAGGUAACGGCUUACCAUGGCUACGAUAGGUAGGGGUCCUGAGAGGGAGAUCCCCCACACUGGUACUGAGACACGGACCAGACUCCUACGGGAGGCAGCAGUGAGGAAUAUUGGACAAUGGGCGAGAGCCUGAUCCAGCCAUGCCGCGUGCAGGAAGACGGCCCUAUGGGUUGUAAACUGCUUUUACAGAGGAAGAACCCUCCUUACGUGUAAGGAGCUGACGGUACUCUAUGAAUAAGGAUCGGCUAACUCCGUGCCAGCAGCCGCGGUAAUACGGAGGAUCCAAGCGUUAUCCGGAAUCAUUGGGUUUAAAGGGUCCGUAGGCGGGUCUAUAAGUCAGUGGUGAAAGUCUGCAGCUUAACUGUAGAACUGCCAUUGAUACUGUAGACCUUGAAUUAGUAUGAAGUGGUUAGAAUGUGUAGUGUAGCGGUGAAAUGCAUAGAUAUUACACAGAAUACCGAUUGCGAAGGCAGAUCACUAAUACUAUAUUGACGCUGAUGGACGAAAGCG